RNAcentral lists this ribosomal RNA (476 nucleotides) under uncultured anaerobic ammonium-oxidizing bacterium. RNAcentral describes it as "bacterial SSU rRNA". It matches the Rfam family "Bacterial small subunit ribosomal RNA", at positions 365 to 832 of the family's 1533-position model. The record is from RNAcentral.
UUCGCAAUGCCCGAAAGGGUGACGGAGCGACGCCGCGUGGACGACGAAGGCCCUCGGGUUGUAAAGUCCUGUCAGGUGGGAAGAACAGCUUGGAGGUGAAUAACCUUCAAGCCUGACGUUACCAUCAGAGGAAGCACCAGCAAACUUCGUGCCAGCAGCUGCGGUAAUACGAAGGGUGCGAGCGUUGUUCGGAAUCACUGGGCUUAAAGGGCACGUAGGCGGGGAGAUAAAUCAGAAGUGAAAGCCCGGCGCUCAACGUCGGAAUUGCUUAUGAAAAUGUCUCUCUCGAGUUCAGGAGGGGAGAGCGGAACUCUUGGUGGAGCGGUGAAAUGCGUAGAUAUCAAGGGGAACGCCGGCGGCGAAAGCGGCUCUCUGGCCUGAUACUGACGCUGAGGUGCGAAAGCUAGGGGAGCAAAAAGGAUUAGAUACCCUUGUAGUCCUAGCCGUAAACGAUGGGCACUAAGUAGAGGGGUUUU